UGACAGCAAUGCAUAUCUGGUUUCUCACCAUUAACUCAAAACAGUCAGAGGUGACAAGUCUGUAUGACAAAGCAAGAGAAAGAGACAGAGGUUGGAGUGCAGAAGAAAAGUACCAAGCUGAUGUCAAAUCACAAACUUCCAUCAGGAAAACAACAGCCAAGCAACAAUCAACAUUCUAACAAGCUUUAUUUGGUUAUAAAAUUCUUCAGGGAAAAUUCUAGAACUUCAGGAAUAUAACACCUUAAUGAGGCCUACUAGGUAGUGGUAUAUCAAAAUAUUGCUCUCCCUUCUUAUGCUUCUACUUAACUUUCUACACAUUUUGGCAAUGGUAGCUCAUGAAAGAAAACUGAGAGAUGGUUCAAGAGUUUCUUUAUGAGGCUGAGGUCCCUGGGCCCUGCAGAAGGACAGAUGUAAGAAAACUUGGCAAAGUUCACAGCUGCUCCAUGGCCACACAUUGAUGAAUGUAUCCCAUGUCCUUGGCUUCCUUACAUAAUGCAAACACAGCUGAAUUGAUCCACUUCAAAUCUUCAUAAACAAUUCAACUGAGGAUGAAAGCAGGAAUCCAGCAGCACAUCAAAAAGCUAAUCCACCACGAAC
RNAcentral lists this long non-coding RNA (597 nucleotides) under Homo sapiens (human). Its description in RNAcentral is "HSALNT0306477". The record is from RNAcentral. Lineage: Eukaryota; Metazoa; Chordata; Mammalia; Primates; Hominidae.